AGUGGUGGUAGAGGUGCAAAGACCAUGAGUAUGUUUUCUGAGGAUGAUGAGGUCCAGUGAAGAUUACAGAAAGGGGAAUUUGCCGAAGCGUAAUUAGUAACUCACUAUUAAUUAAGCUGGACCUACAUUGAAAAAGUGUAGGGCUGUCACAUAACUAACCCAAUGGUUGUGUGGAGAACUAUCUCACGA
This 189-nucleotide non-coding RNA is filed under the name Anaerobacillus arseniciselenatis. Its description in RNAcentral is "Lysine sequence". It matches the Rfam family "Lysine riboswitch aptamer". From Rfam's summary of the family: Riboswitches are metabolite binding domains within certain messenger RNAs that serve as precision sensors for their corresponding targets. Allosteric rearrangement of mRNA structure is mediated by ligand binding, and this results in modulation of gene expression. The record is from Rfam by way of RNAcentral. Lineage: Bacteria; Bacillati; Bacillota; Bacilli; Caryophanales; Bacillaceae.